RNAcentral lists this ribosomal RNA (1359 nucleotides) under uncultured bacterium. RNAcentral describes it as "bacterial SSU rRNA". It matches the Rfam family "Bacterial small subunit ribosomal RNA", at positions 28 to 1381 of the family's 1533-position model. The record is from RNAcentral.
GAUGAACGCUAGCUACAGGCUUAACACAUGCAAGUCGAGGGGUAGCAUGUUGGUUGCUUGCAACCGAUGAUGACGACCGGCGCACGGGUGAGUAACGCGUAUCCAACUUGGCUUAUACUUAGGGAUAACCCGUUGAAAGACGGCCUAAUACCUAAUGGUUUAUAAUAGUUGCAUGACUUUUAUAAUAAAGAUUUAUCGGUAUAAGAUAGGGAUGCGUCUGAUUAGUUAGUUGGUGAGGUAACGGCUCACCAAGGCAUCGAUCAGUAGGGGUUCUGAGAGGAAGGUCCCCCACAUUGGAACUGAGACGCGGUCCAAACUCCUACGGGAGGCAGCAGUGAGGAAUAUUGGUCAAUGGACGUAAGUCUGAACCAGCCAAGUAGCGUGCAGGAUGACGGCCCUAUGGGUUGUAAACUGCUUUUAUGUGAGAAUAAAGUUAACUACGUGUAGUUAUUUGCAUGUAUCACAUGAAUAAGGACCGGCUAAUUCCGUGCCAGCAGCCGCGGUAAUACGGAAGGUCCAGGCGUUAUCCGGAUUUAUUGGGUUUAAAGGGAGCGUAGGCCGUUUGGUAAGCGUGCUGUGAAAUUUAGAGGCUCAACCCCUACCGUGCAGCGCGAACUGUCAGACUUGAGUGCGUAGUAGGUAGGCGGAAUUCGUGGUGUAGCGGUGAAAUGCUUAGAUAUCACGAAGAACUCCGAUUGCGAAGGCAGCUUACCGUAUCGCAACUGACGCUGAUGCUCGAAGGUGCGGGUAUCGAACAGGAUUAGAUACCCUGGUAGUCCGCACAGUAAACGAUGGAUGCUCGCUGUUGGCUUUUAUAGUCAGUGGCUUAGCGAAAGCGUUAAGCAUCCCACCUGGGGAGUACGCCGGCAACGGUGAAGCUCAAAGGAAUUGACGGGGGCCCGCACAAGCGGAGGAACAUGUGGUUUAAUUCGAUGAUACGCGAGGAACCUUACCCGGGCUUGAACUGCAGGAGAACGAUUCAGAGAUGAUGAGGUCCUUCGGGACUCCUGUGGAGGUGCUGCAUGGUUGUCGUCAGCUCGUGCCGUGAGGUGUCGGCUUAAGUGCCAUAACGAGCGCAACCCCUUUUCUUAGUUGCCAUCGGGUGAUGCCGGGCACUCUGAGGAUACUGCCACCGUAAGGUGUGAGGAAGGUGGGGAUGACGUCAAAUCAGCACGGCCCUUACGUCCGGGGCUACACACGUGUUACAAUGGGGCAUACAGAGUGUUGGUUGCAUGUAAAUGUAAUCUAAUCUUUAAAGUGCUUCUCAGUUCGGACUGGGGUCUGCAACCCGACCCCACGAAGCUGGAUUCGCUAGUAAUCGCGCAUCAGCCAUGGCGCGGUGAAUACGUUCCCGGGCCU